Molecule: ribosomal RNA, 632 nt
Filed under: Chaetomium ascotrichoides
Lineage: Eukaryota; Fungi; Ascomycota; Sordariomycetes; Sordariales; Chaetomiaceae
Description: eukaryotic LSU rRNA
Rfam family: Eukaryotic large subunit ribosomal RNA
Source: RNAcentral
UAACCCAAGGUUGACCUCGGAUCAGGUAGGAAGACCCGCUGAACUUAAGCAUAUCAAUAAGCGGAGGAAAAGAAACCAACAGGGAUUGCCCUAGUAACGGCGAGUGAAGCGGCAACAGCUCAAAUUUGAAAUCUGGCUUCGGCCCGAGUUGUAAUUUGCAGAGGAAGCUUUAGGCGCGGCACCUUCUGAGUCCCCUGGAACGGGGCGCCAUAGAGGGUGAGAGCCCCGUAUAGUUGGAUGCCUAGCCUGUGUAAAGCUCCUUCGACGAGUCGAGUAGUUUGGGAAUGCUGCUCAAAAUGGGAGGUAAAUUUCUUCUAAAGCUAAAUACCGGCCAGAGACCGAUAGCGCACAAGUAGAGUGAUCGAAAGAUGAAAAGCACUUUGAAAAGAGGGUUAAAUAGCACGUGAAAUUGUUGAAAGGGAAGCGCUUGUGACCAGACUUGCGCCGGGCGGAUCAUCCGGUGUUCUCACCGGUGCACUCCGCCCGGCUCAGGCCAGCAUCGGUUCUCGCGGGGGGAUAAAGGCAUCGGGAACGUGGCUCCUCCGGGAGUGUUAUAGCCCGUUGCGUAAUGCCCUCGCGGGGACCGAGGUUCGCGCAUCUGCAAGGAUGCUGGCGUAAUGGUCAUCAGCGAC